GCCGCCGUGGUGAAAUUGGCAGACACGCACGACUCAAAAUCGUGUGGGGAAACCCAUGUCGGUUCAACUCCGACCGGCGGCACCA
Molecule: transfer RNA, 85 nt
Filed under: Candidatus Spechtbacteria bacterium RIFCSPLOWO2_02_FULL_38_8
Lineage: Bacteria; Candidatus Spechtiibacteriota
Description: tRNA-Leu
Rfam family: tRNA
About the family: Transfer RNA (tRNA) molecules are approximately 80 nucleotides in length.
Source: RNAcentral